UUCGGAACCGGCGAACGGUUCGCGGACGAGGGAGCAGUACCCGCACCACGACAAGACUGACUCAGA
RNAcentral lists this non-coding RNA (66 nucleotides) under Microlunatus soli. The record is from RNAcentral. Lineage: Bacteria; Bacillati; Actinomycetota; Actinomycetes; Propionibacteriales; Propionibacteriaceae.